UCCUGACUGACCGAUAGUGAACCAGUACCGUGAGGGAAAGGCGAAAAGAACCCCGGCGAGGGGAGUGAAAAAGAACCUGAAACCGUGUACGUACAAGCAGUGGGAGCACGCUUAGGCGUGUGACUGCGUACCUUUUGUAUAAUGGGUCAGCGACUUAUAUUCUGUAGCAAGGUUAACCGAAUAGGGGAGCCGAAGGGAAACCGAGUCUUAACUGGGCGUUAAGUUGCAGGGUAUAGACCCGAAACCCGGUGAUCUAGCCAUGGGCAGGUUGAAGGUUGGGUAACACUAACUGGAGGACCGAACCGACUAAUGUUGAAAAAUUAGCGGAUGACUUGUGGCUGGGGGUGAAAGGCCAAUCAAACCGGGAGAUAGCUGGUUCUCCCCGAAAGCUAUUUAGGUAGCGCCUCGUGAAUUCAUCUCCGGGGGUAGAGCACUGUUUCGGCAAGGGGGUCAUCCCGACUUACCAACCCGAUGCAAACUGCGAAUACCGGAGAAUGUUAUCACGGGAGACACACGGCGGGUGCUAACGUCCGUCGUGAAGAGGGAAACAACCCAGACCGCCAGCUAAGGUCCCAAAGUCAUGGUUAAGUGGGAAACGAUGUGGGAAGGCCCAGACAGCCAGGAUGUUGGCUUAGAAGCAGCCAUCAUUUAAAGAAAGCGUAAUAGCUCACUGGUCGAGUCGGCCUGCGCGGAAGAUGUAACGGGGCUAAACCAUGCACCGAAGCU
This 726-nucleotide ribosomal RNA is filed under the name Escherichia coli. RNAcentral describes it as "partial 23S ribosomal RNA". It matches the Rfam family "Bacterial large subunit ribosomal RNA", at positions 474 to 1201 of the family's 2925-position model. Lineage: Bacteria; Pseudomonadati; Pseudomonadota; Gammaproteobacteria; Enterobacterales; Enterobacteriaceae. RNAcentral also lists the same sequence under 1 other name. The record is from RNAcentral.